RNAcentral lists this long non-coding RNA (835 nucleotides) under Marmota monax (woodchuck). The record is from RNAcentral. Lineage: Eukaryota; Metazoa; Chordata; Mammalia; Rodentia; Sciuridae.
GUUUGAUCCUUAGCACCAUAUAAAAAUAAAAUAAAGGUAUAGAAUCUACCUAUAACUAAAAAGUAAUAUUUAAAAAAAAUUAACAGGAACUAUCCCUGAAAAAGAUCUGGACAAAAGACUUUAAAGAUGUUUAGGGAAUAGCCAUUUCAGUGGCUCAUGCCUGUAAAUCCAGUGACUCAGGAGGCUAGGCCAGGAGAAUAGCAAGUUUGAGGCCCACCUCAGCAACUUAGCAAGGCACUAAGCAACAAAGCAAGACCCUGUCUCAAAAUAAAAAAAUGAAAAUGGCUGGGGAUGUAGCUGAGUAGUAGAGUACCCCUGGGUUCAACCCCUAGUAACAACAACAACAACAAAAAAAAGAUGUUCAAAGAGGGGAUGUAGCUCAGUGGUAGAGUACUUGCCUAGCUGUGUGAGGUCCUGGUUUGAUUGAUUCCCAGCACCCAGGGAGGGGGGAGUCGAAGGAUUAAAGGAGGAAGAUGUGGAUUAAGUCAAUAAAAUUAUAUACAAACAAAACAGAAAUAUCAUUUUUUACCCUAUUUUUAUGGGUGUAUUACAGUUGUACAUAAUGGUGGAAUUCAUUGUUACAUAGUCAUUCAUGCACAUAAUAUAAAAAUAUAAUUUGGCCAGUAUCAUUUUCCAGUAUUUCCCCUUUCCUGUCCCCUCCUCCCUCCCCCUGGUCCCUUUCCUCUACUGAUCUCCCUUUGAUUUUCAUGAGAUGCCCCACCCAUGACCUUUCUUCCCCCCUUUUUCCUCUCUAGUUUCCACAUAUGAAAGAAAACAUGUGACCCUUGACUUUCUGAGUUUGGCCUAUUUUGCUUAACAUAAUGUUCUCCAGUUC